This 359-nucleotide ribosomal RNA is filed under the name uncultured bacterium. Its description in RNAcentral is "bacterial SSU rRNA". It matches the Rfam family "Bacterial small subunit ribosomal RNA", at positions 198 to 538 of the family's 1533-position model. The record is from RNAcentral.
GGAGGAAAGCAGGGGAUCGUAAGACCUCGCGUUAUUAGAGCGGCCGAUAUCUGAUUAGCUAGUAGGUGAGGUAAAGGCUCACCUAGGCGACGAUCAGUAGCUGGUCUGAGAGGACGACCAGCCACACUGGAACUGAGACACGGUCCAGACUCCUACGGGAGGCAGCAGUGGGGAAUUUUGGACAAUGGGCGCAAGCCUGAUCCAGCCAUUCCGCGUGAGUGAAGAAGGCCUUCGGGUUGUAAAGCUCUUUCGCAAGGGAAGAAACGAUCCAGCAUAAUACGCUGGGUUAAUGACGGUACCUUGAUAAGAAGCACCGGCUAACUACGUGCCAGCAGCCGCGGUAAUACGUAGGGUGCGAG